AUCCGGCUGACGAGUCCUAAAUAGGACGAAACGCGCGUUCUGGAU
This 45-nucleotide non-coding RNA is filed under the name Schistosoma mansoni. Lineage: Eukaryota; Metazoa; Platyhelminthes; Trematoda; Strigeidida; Schistosomatidae. The record is from RNAcentral.